GCAUUCCUAAAUAAAUAUCAUAUGUAAAUAUAUAAAAACUCAUUCCAAGUGCUUUAUGAAAAUAUAAAUCCCUCCAAAACAAAAUCACAUUUGAAAUCAUUUUAGAUGAUAGAUUUUGAGAUGUGCCUUAUGCCCUCACAAGCAGGUUAUAUGGAAAAACAAAUGAAUAAAAUUGGCAUUCCAAAAUAAGUAUCAUAUGUAGAUAUAAAAAACUCAUUCCAUGUGAUUUUUCUUCUAAGUUGCAUACAUAAGAAUCUUCUACAUGUCCUAUUGAUGUAUUAUGUUAUAGUAUUACAAAAAAGGAAAAGCCAAGACUUACCGUCUCUGAGGUGUUUCUCCCCUUCAGUGUUUUCAAUGCAGCUUCUGCAAAAGCUUCUGCUGCAGCUGCAUCCGCUUCUGCAGCCUCUGCCUCCUUAGCUGCCUCUUCAGCUUCCGCUAUGGCGGCUUCUGCAUCAGCGACUGCUCGAGCAGCAUAUGCGGCAGCCUCUUGAGCAGACAUGGACC
This 504-nucleotide long non-coding RNA is filed under the name Medicago truncatula (barrel medic). Its description in RNAcentral is "long non-coding RNA (MTRU_LNC007354)". The record is from RNAcentral. Lineage: Eukaryota; Viridiplantae; Streptophyta; Magnoliopsida; Fabales; Fabaceae.